UUCUAUUAGUUAUAAUUAAUAGUAAAAUCUGCUCAAUGAAAAUUUAAAUAGCCGCAAUUCGUGCUAAGGUAGCAUAAUCAUUCGUCUUUUAAUUGAAGACUAGAACAAAAGAUUUAACAUUUUAAUUUAUUUCUUAAUCUUAACUAUUAAAAUUAUCCUAAAAGUAAAAAGACCUUUAUAAAAAAGAAAGACGAUAAGACCCUAUCGAACUUUACUUCAGUUUAACUGGGGCAGUUAAUUAAUUAACAUUUUAAUAUAAAUAAAUUUAAAAAAAUCUAGUAUAAUUAAAUCUUAAUUAAGUUACCGUAGGGAUAACAGCAUAAUAAAUAUUUACAGAUCUUAUAUAAAUAUUAGAUUAUGACCUCGAUGUUGAAUAAUAACCUAUUAUAACGCAGUAGUUUAAAAAGGAAGUCUGUUCGACUAAUAAAAAAUUACA
Molecule: ribosomal RNA, 436 nt
Filed under: Morebilus fumosus
Lineage: Eukaryota; Metazoa; Arthropoda; Arachnida; Araneae; Trachycosmidae
Description: partial 16S ribosomal RNA
Source: RNAcentral